UCAGUGCUGCACUUGAAAUGCCUCAGGCCACUAUCAAAAGUAAGGCUUAAUACUGGAGCUUCCGUUACUGCUGCAGUGUUUUUAUUUUUCAGUUUCAAAUGUAAUGUUAAUGUGUAGGCGUUCUUUUUUAUGUUGGUAUGUGAAAUGAAUGCACCCAGGAAGGAAGUUCUGGUAAUGCUUAAAAGGGCCAAAAUAAUAAUGCACAGAAAAGAGAAACACACGUGUUCAUUUCUCAAAAAAGGAUUUUGGAUGAUGGUGUCAGAUCUCCCUGCUUUCAAGACAACAUACAUCAGAAGUUUUUCACAACUAAUGGAUCAUGACAAGCCUCUUUUCAAAUGUGUUUUUGAG
Molecule: non-coding RNA, 348 nt
Organism: Doryrhamphus excisus (bluestripe pipefish)
Lineage: Eukaryota; Metazoa; Chordata; Actinopteri; Syngnathiformes; Syngnathidae
Source: RefSeq, a predicted model, not a curated record